Molecule: transfer RNA, 77 nt
Filed under: Gordonia jinhuaensis
Lineage: Bacteria; Bacillati; Actinomycetota; Actinomycetes; Mycobacteriales; Gordoniaceae
Description: tRNA-His
Source: RNAcentral
GCACAAGUGGUGUGGUUGUACACCCGCACCCGUGGAGUGCGUCCUUCGGCGAUGAGCGUGCGAUCGUUUCUGGUGUA